AGCUCCGUAGUGUAGCGGUCAAGCAUCAGAGACUCUGGCUCUCUGGACCCAGGUUCGAAUCCUGGCGGGGCUA
RNAcentral lists this transfer RNA (73 nucleotides) under Candidatus Pacearchaeota archaeon. RNAcentral describes it as "tRNA-Gln". It matches the Rfam family "tRNA". From Rfam's summary of the family: Transfer RNA (tRNA) molecules are approximately 80 nucleotides in length. Lineage: Archaea; Nanobdellati. The record is from RNAcentral.